GACGAACGCUGGCGGCGUGCCUAAUACAUGCAAGUAGAACGCUGAAGGAGGAGCUUGCUUCUCUGGAUGAGUUGCGAACGGGUGAGUAACGCGUAGGUAACCUGCCUGGUAGCGGGGGAUAACUAUUGGAAACGAUAGCUAAUACCGCAUAAGAGUAGAUGUUGCAUGACAUUUGCUUAAAAGGUGCAAUUGCAUCACUACCAGAUGGACCUGCGUUGUAUUAGCUAGUUGGUGGGGUAACGGCUCACCAAGGCGACGAUACAUAGCCGACCUGAGGGGGUGAUCGGCCACACUGGGACUGAGACACGGCCCAGACUCCUACGGGAGGCAGCAGUAGGGAAUCUUCGGCAAUGGACGGAAGUCUGACCGAGCAACGCCGCGGGAGUGAAGAAGGUUUUCGGAUCGUAAAGCUCUGUUGUAAGAGAAGAACGAGUGUGAGAGUGGAAAGUUCACACUGUGACGGUAUCUUACCAGAAAGGGACGGCUAACUACGUG
RNAcentral lists this ribosomal RNA (495 nucleotides) under uncultured bacterium. Its description in RNAcentral is "partial 16S ribosomal RNA". It matches the Rfam family "Bacterial small subunit ribosomal RNA", at positions 28 to 507 of the family's 1533-position model. The record is from RNAcentral.